GGAUAGAUGACAGAGUCUGGUUUAAUGUGAUGCAUUUGAAAUGCAUAGAAAGAAAUUUCCUAGGGUUCGAAUCCCUAUCUAUCCU
This 85-nucleotide transfer RNA is filed under the name Neoconidiobolus thromboides. RNAcentral describes it as "Conidiobolus thromboides tRNA-Ser". It matches the Rfam family "tRNA". Rfam says of the family: Transfer RNA (tRNA) molecules are approximately 80 nucleotides in length. The record is from RNAcentral. Lineage: Eukaryota; Fungi; Entomophthoromycota; Entomophthoromycetes; Entomophthorales; Neoconidiobolaceae.